GUAACCACAGCUUGUUCCUCAGUGAAUUUAUUCCACUUGUCUUAUUUUAAUGAUAUGGACUUCUAACUUUUGGAUUACAUGCUGUGACAGGGACAGCAUGAACAUACCUGGCAUGAAUAAACAGCAGGGUUGUGGUUGGAAAUAAUCCAGGCCAGGUAUUCUGUUUGGUCAAGUCUAAGAAACAGUGAGCAUGAUGAUUGCAGACACCUGUCAGCUUGUUUUAAAAAGGUAUCAGACAGUAGGAGCAGGGCUCCUGAUGGUGAACUAGUCGCCCAGGUGAUAGGCCAAGUGGCUACUGUUAGGGCCCCUGGACCUCAGUGAUCUCUGGAGAAUUGACACCUAUGUCUGGAAAGAUCUGCUGUAAACUGUUUUGUGACCUGUGACUUGCUGGUAACUACAGAUGUUCAGCUGUAAAACUGCCUGACUGAAAAAAUACAUCUUUUGUUUGGAACUUUUACCCGAUGAACAGGAUCCUUCUAUUUGUGCUUGAAAGACUUUGCAGCCACACUAUGGGGGAAGAUUUAUCAAAGCGUGGAGAGAUAAAGUGGAGAAAGUUUACAGCGGUACCUAGGUCACGCAGCCGAGACCAGCGAUUUCACUUCCGCUUGACAGAGAUGCAGGAAGUGUCCGGAUGGUGCUGUGGGUGGCGUAACUGAGGAGAACGCCAGUGGGGGGAGGUCUAUGGGGGCUUCCAAUGCUAAUACCGGCAGCAAAUUCAAAUGGGUGUAUCAACAUGGAAGAUCCCAGAAGGCUAAACCACAGCAGUGUGUAGGAGUUGCAGAUACUGUACCACGGCCCUGUGUAGAAAACAUAUAUUUCAUUUUACACCUAAUCUUUUAUUAAUUUUAUUAAGUGUUUUUAAAGUAAAUAUGGGUAGACUAAGAUGCAUGACUAAUAACUACGCCUGCUGAAUGCUGGAAUUGGUUAUCAAAAGCUACCAAGACUGUGCCCUUCCUCUGCAUUGAGACAAUCAAUCAUUGAUGAGCGCGUUCUACCAGCAGCCUAUUCUCCAGCCUAGAGAAUGCCAGGGACACCAAUCCUAUGGGGCCGGGAACAGUUUAUUCUUCCUGACAAAUGCAUAGUGGUGCGCUUAUCAAUAUGUAAAACGGAAUAUUAUUAUUGUUGGCACUAGCGCACAGCCCAAAGCCAGUAACCAUCCUUAUCCACCCUGACCCGUGCUUAAUAUAGGUUCUCGCACAUAUCAUCACAUGUUCCAUCGCUAUGGGACACAAACACUAAGUUGUACAAACACAUGUGAAAUAAUACACAUGCACAUAAAGCUUCAGUUAUUAAUCCUUUAAAAAUUGCGAAUGCAAUCAGCUUCACAAAACAAUACAACCCUAUAGGUUUUUUUUGUUUUGUUUUUUUAAGCCCAGCAAUGUGUUGACUAUCAGUCUGAUAUGCUGCUAAAUACCAUUUUAAGAAAUCUUUGUAUGGCCAAGGCCUUCUGCCACUUUACAAAUGUAUUAAUCCUGCACUGGUUUAAUUUUACACAAAAAUUUCUGCGGAGAGGAAAAAUACAGGCAAGAUGCAACCGCAUUGGAACCGACAGGUUAAGGUGAGCGAUGCAUGUCAUUGUAUUGGGACUUCAAAAACAUUUUCUAUAUAGGGGAGAAAAUCACUUCAGCCAGCAUUGGAGUCUCCUAAUAACCUGCAGGUUGGGUGAAAAGUUACACAAGACCCAGAAUAUUAUCAAACAAAACUACUGUAUAUGUACACUUGUCACCUGCACAGCGUUGGUAGCUAUAAUGUGUGUUGAACUAAUAUUUGACCCAUUCAUUUGUUAACUAGUUAUGCCACAGAGGCAUGUAGUGCCUCAUGGCGCAUUCAGGUCAUUAGUUCCUAGAUAAUGGAAAGGCUGAAUUCUUAUCAAUAUUGGUAGAUCAGUGAUAACGGCAGCUGCCGUGAGCAGCCAAAAUUUAAAUUUUAAUAUUAAAAGAAAAUGUAAUAAAACUUUUAAAAAACACCAAGUUUGCAAGGAAAUAUCUUGCCAAGACUCUGAACUGCGGGCUUAAAAACUCAUUAAAAAAUAUCCCCAGUCAUGGGGAGAAGAUGCAAUUUAACCAAAAUAUUUUGCCAAAGAAGAGCAGCGACACUAGCCACAUGCUCUGAGAGUAGAAUUAAAAGCUAACGUUUCUGUUUAACUAAUGUGGGGGGAAAAAUAAAAAAUGUAAAGUAAAAAUAGAUAACAUUUAAUUGAAACAACCAAUGUAUUAAGCAAUGCUUUAUUCUAGAAUGAAGAAUGUUUUUGUUGCAUUUUAAGAUCAAACAAAUGCAGCUUGACAUUUGAACAAGAAAAUUAUGCCUGAGAAUGCAAAGAAAAUAAAAAUAAAUUACAACUUGUUUUGUACAUAUAUAUCUAUGUUUAUAAUGUAUACAUAUAGGACACAUGUCUGAACAUGAUCUAAUUUUAAACAUGUCAUUUGUGAUUUUAUGCGUGAGAAUGUAAAAAAGUUCAACUUGUUUUAUACAUAUAUAUGUAUACAUAUAGGAAACAUGUCUGCACAUUACAGUUCAACUUGUUUUGUACAUAUAUAUGUAUACAUAUAGGAAACAUGUCUGCACAUUACCUUAUUUUAAAUAUGUCAUUUGUGAUUUUUCAGCAUCAAAGCUUAAGGUAAGUCAAUUCAAGGUAUAUAUAUACACAAUGUAUGUGUAUACAUAGCGUGUCUGGCUAUAUACAUUGAAAUAACUUUAAAACAUGGGGUGGGGAACCAUCAGACCUCCGUCUGUUGUUGAACUACACAUACCAGUAUGCCCUGCAACAGUUUUGCCUCAUUGGUUAAGUGUUUUGGUAUGUAUUCACUAAGCAGGGAUAACCCUGUUCAACCCAAUUUACCAAACGGUUACAGCAGAGAAACCCUCUAAAUGAUGUUUUAAUUGUAAUAAACAGUAAAUAAUAUUCGGCCCAUCAAUUUGUUAACUAGUUAUGCCACAGAGGCAUGUAGUGCCUCAUGGCUCAUUGUGGUCAUUAGUUCCUAGAUCAUCUUUAAAACAUGGGGAGGUGAACCUUCAGUCCUCGAUCUGUUGUUAAACUACACAUACCAGUAUGCCCUGCAACAGUU
Long non-coding RNA from Pseudophryne corroboree (corroboree frog), 3065 nucleotides. RefSeq lists it as uncharacterized. The record is from RefSeq and is a predicted model, not a curated record. The transcript is spliced from 3 exons. NCBI's taxonomy places the organism in Eukaryota, Metazoa, Chordata, Amphibia, Anura, Myobatrachidae.